UCUUGUUCAAUGAAAUCUGCAAAUUCGUCGAUAACGCCAGCGCGGUGGCCUUGCGUGCGAUUAGGAGCUUCAUCAUCGACUUCGUUUUCUUCUUCUUCUUCUUCCUCAGAAAAUAUGUUUUCAAGAGUCUCUUCUUGAUCUCUUCCACGUUUUAAACGUCUCAACUUAGAAAAACGAGAGCCUUGGCCUGUAUUCUCCAUGACAAGUUCCAGAUCUUCCUCAUCAAGCAUAUCUUGAUCAGCAGUACUUUCGGCAUGCUUCUUACGUUUCUUUUUGCGCCGAAUUUCCUGAGGAACUUCGUCUUCUUCAUCUUCGACGAUGAAACCCUCUCUAACUUGUCGCUCAGCUUCUUC
Molecule: non-coding RNA, 353 nt
Organism: Schizosaccharomyces pombe (fission yeast)
Lineage: Eukaryota; Fungi; Ascomycota; Schizosaccharomycetes; Schizosaccharomycetales; Schizosaccharomycetaceae
Source: the annotation of a GenBank genome assembly